RNAcentral lists this ribosomal RNA (484 nucleotides) under uncultured bacterium. RNAcentral's name for it is "partial 16S ribosomal RNA". It matches the Rfam family "Bacterial small subunit ribosomal RNA", at positions 30 to 507 of the family's 1533-position model. The record is from RNAcentral.
AUUGAACGCUGGCGGCAGGCCUAGCACAUGCAAGUCGAGCGGAUGGAGGGAGCUUGCUCCUGGAUUCAGCGGCGGACGGGUGAGUAAUGCCUAGGAAUCUGCCUGGUAGUGGGGGAUAACGUCCGGAAACGGGCGCUAAUACCGCAUACGUCCUGAGGGAGAAAGUGGGGGAUCUUCGGACCUCACGCUAUCAGAUGAGCCUAGGUCGGAUUAGCUAGUUGGUGGGGUAAAGGCCUACCAAGGCGACGAUCCGUAACUGGUCUGAGAGGAUGAUCAGUCACACUGGAACUGAGACACGGUCCAGACUCCUACGGGAGGCAGCAGUGGGGAAUAUUGGACAAUGGGCGAAAGCCUGAUCCAGCCAUGCUGCGUGUGUGAAGAAGGUCUUCGGAUUGUAAAGCACUUUAAGUUGGGAGGAAGGGCAGUAAGUUAAUACCUUGCUGUUUUGACGUUACCAACAGAAUAAGCACCGGCUAACUUCGUG